This 467-nucleotide ribosomal RNA is filed under the name uncultured bacterium. Its description in RNAcentral is "partial 16S ribosomal RNA". It matches the Rfam family "Bacterial small subunit ribosomal RNA", at positions 28 to 507 of the family's 1533-position model. The record is from RNAcentral.
GAUGAACGCUGGCGGCGUGCUUAACACAUGCAAGUCGAACGGAAAGACCCAAGCUUGCUUGGGUACUCGAGUGGCGAACGGGUGAGUAACACGUGGGUGAUCUGCCCUGCACUUCGGGAUAAGCCUGGGAAACUGGGUCUAAUACCGGAUAGGACCACUUCUUGGAUGUUGUGGUGGAAAGUUUUUUCGGUGUGGGAUGAGCUCGCGGCCUAUCAGCUUGUUGGUGAGGUAAUGGCCUACCAAGGCGUCGACGGGUAGCCGGCCUGAGAGGGUGUACGGCCACAUUGGGACUGAGAUACGGCCCAGACUCCUACGGGAGGCAGCAGUGGGGAAUAUUGCACAAUGGGCGCAAGCCUGAUGCAGCGACGCCGCGUGGGGGAUGACGGCCUUCGGGUUGUAAACUCCUUUCGCUAGGGACGAAGCGUUUUGUGACGGUACCUGGAGAAGAAGCACCGGCUAACUACGUG